Oncorhynchus tshawytscha (Chinook salmon) is the source of this 1324-nucleotide long non-coding RNA. The record is from Ensembl. NCBI's taxonomy places the organism in Eukaryota, Metazoa, Chordata, Actinopteri, Salmoniformes, Salmonidae.
CACACACACUGGACACACACACACACUGGACACACACACACACACACACACACACACACUGGACACACACACACACUGGACACACACACACACUGGACACACACACACUGGACACACACACACACACACACACACACACACACACUGGACACACACACACACACAGGACACACACACACACACACUGGACACACACACACACACACAGACAGGACACACACACACAGACACACACACACACACACACAGACAGGACACACACACACACUGGACACACACACACAUACUCUGGACACACACACACACAUACUCUGGACACACACACACACUGGACACACACACACACACACUGGACACACACACACACACUGGACACACACACACACACUGGACACACACACACUGGACACACACACACACUCUGGACACACACACACUGGACAAACACACACUGGACACACACACACACACUGGACACACACACACACUGGACACACACACACAGACACACACACACUGGACACACACACACACUGGACACACACACAUACUCUGGACACACACACACACACUCUGGACACACACACACAUACUCUGGACACACACACACACUGGACACACACACACAUACUCUGGACACACACACACACUGGACAAAUACACACACACACACACACACACUGGACAAACACACACUGGACAAACACGCACACUGGACACACACACUCUGGGCACACACACACACGGGACACACACACACUGGACACACACACACACUGGACACACACACUCAGGAAACACACAUUCUACACACACACACACUCUGGACACACACACACACUGGACACGGACACACACUGGACAAAUACACACACACACACUCUGGACACACACACACUGGACAAACACACACUGGACAAACACACACACACACACAAACACACACACAGGACAAACACGCACACUGGACACACACACACACACACACACACACUGGACACACACACACACUCUGGACACACAAUCUGGACACACACACACACACACUCUGGACACACACACACACACACUCUGGACACACACACACACACACUGGACACACACACACACACACUGGACACACACACACACACUCUGGACACACACACACACACACACUCUGGGCACACACACACACACAAUCUGCACACACACACACACACACUCUGGACACACACACACACACUCUGGACACACACACACACACACAUUCUGGACACACACACACAUACGCGUCUUUCUAUAGUUGUGAGGACCUCUUACAACAACACUGUUAAAAUACCAA